This 544-nucleotide unclassified non-coding RNA is filed under the name Hevea brasiliensis (rubber tree). Lineage: Eukaryota; Viridiplantae; Streptophyta; Magnoliopsida; Malpighiales; Euphorbiaceae. The record is from RNAcentral.
UGUUGCAAGUUUUGAGGGAAAUUUUCCAAGCAGGAUCAAGCAACUCCCUUUGGAUAGGCACUUUGACAUGAACAAUGUCAAAAGGAUUGUUCUUGAAGCGGAUGGUUAUCAACCUUAUCUUAUAUCUCCAGAGAAAGGGUUAAGGUCCUUAAUAAAAGGUGUUCUAGAGCUGGCUAAGGAGCCUGCACGUCUAUGUGUGGAUGAGGUGCAUCGUGUGCUGGUGGAUAUAGUGUCUGCUUCAGCAAAUGCAACCCCUGGUCUAGGAAGAUAUGCUCCCUUUAAGAGAGAGAUUGUGGCAAUUGCUAGUGCUGCACUUGAUGGGUUUAAGAAUGAAGCGAAAAAGAUGGUGGUUGCCCUGGUGGAUAUGGAGCGUGCUUUUGUUCCACCUCAGCACUUCAUCCGAUUGGUGCAGAGGCGAAUGGAUAGGCAGCGCCGUGAGGAAGAGAUCAAGAAUAAAUCCUCCAAGAAGGCAAAUGAAGCAGAGCAAUCCUUACUAAACAGGGCAACUAGUCCUCAAACUGGAGCCCAGCAGUCUGGAGGAAGC